Molecule: ribosomal RNA, 425 nt
Filed under: uncultured bacterium
Lineage: Bacteria
Description: bacterial SSU rRNA
Rfam family: Bacterial small subunit ribosomal RNA
Source: RNAcentral
GUGGGGAAUCUUAGACAAUGGGCGCAAGCCUGAUCUAGCCAUGCCGCGUGAGUGAUGAAGGCCUUCGGGUUGUAAAGCUCUUUAGCCGAUGAUUAUAAUGACUGUAGUCGGAAAAUAAGCCCCGGCUAACUUCGUGCCAGCAGCCGCGGUAAUACGAAGGGGGCGAGCGUUAUUCGGAAUCACUGGGCGUAAAGCGUGCGUAGGCGGCUUUGCAAGUUGGGAGUGAAAGCCCAGGGCUCAACCCUGGAAUUGCUCUCAAAACUGCAAGGCUCGAAUUCGGGAGAGGAUAGCGGAAUUGUCAGUGUAGCAGUGAAAUGCGUAGAUAUUGACAGGAACACCAGUGGCGUAAGCGGCUAUCUGGACCGAUAUUGACGCUGAGGCACGAAAGCGUGGGGAUCAAACAGGAUUAGAAACCCUUGUAGUCC